AACGAACGCUGGCGGCAUGCCUAACACAUGCAAGUCGAACGAGACCUUCGGGUCUAGUGGCGCACGGGUGCGUAACGCGUGGGAACCUGCCCUUAGGUUCGGAAUAACUCCCCGAAAGGGGUGCUAAUACCGGAUAAUGUCUUCGGACCAAAGAUUUAUCGCCUUUGGAUGGGCCCGCGUUGGAUUAGCUAGUUGGUAGGGUAAAAGCCUACCAAGGCGACGAUCCAUAGCUGGUCUGAGAGGAUGAUCAGCCACACUGGGACUGAGACACGGCCCAGACUCCUACGGGAGGCAGCAGUGGGGAAUAUUGGACAAUGGGCGGAAGCCUGAUCCAGCAAUGCCGCGUGAGUGAUGAAGGCCUUAGGGUUGUAAAGCUCUUUUAACCGGGAUGAUAAUGACAGUACCGGGAGAAUAAGCUCCGGCUAACUCCGUG
Molecule: ribosomal RNA, 433 nt
Filed under: uncultured bacterium
Lineage: Bacteria
Description: partial 16S ribosomal RNA
Rfam family: Bacterial small subunit ribosomal RNA
Source: RNAcentral